UGAGCAACCCAUAGGAACUGCUAAAACAGAAAGGCUCGGGGAUCCAGGCCUGCCUGUUAUUUUUAUCAUUUUAUACAUUAUAUUUCUAAAAUCAUUUAUUUAUUUAUUUGGUUUUUCGAGACAGGGUUUCCCUGUGUAACAAUCCUAGCUGUCCUUGUAGGCCGCACGACCUCAACGACAUCUUCCAGGACGUCUCCUCCGCCACCGGGAACCUGCGACGACGGCGGCUGCGGCACCGGGAAACGGCAGCCUCUGAGGCGGAAACACUCUCCUUGGGAAACGGAAAUGCCUCUUCCGGGGCCGCAAAGGACACUGGGAGAGUGAGUCCUGAUUAUGCCACGGUGACAAUCGAGGUGGCAGAAGCGGAAACACCCCCUCACGGAGUCGCCAAGGACGCUGGGAGAGCGAGUUUUGAAGACGCCACGGUGCCUGUUGACGCGGCGGAAACAGCCGCCGCGGAUUUUGGGAUAUUAUAGGCUAAAGCGUGGCUUCCUGAUGGGGCAGGUAGUGGAGCAUGAGUGCAGUCACCAACUAGACUCAAGUUUUGUGAACUUCAGUGUGCUAAGUACACGGGCUCAUGGUUUUGAUGCUUUUUCUUCGUGAGAACUGAGUCAACAGACACACAGAUCAGACUGGGCAUGACCACCUGGAGGGCAGCUGGUAUUUCCUUCACUGAGCACUUUCAAGUCCUCUACGUGGCGCAUCAGUAGGACCCAAUCAUCCCGCAAUUUCUUCUUCUCCUGCCUCAGCAGGUCCACCUUCUUCUCCAGCUGACUAUGUUGCAUCAGGACCCAGCUGUGGAGACCACUGGA
Long non-coding RNA from Alexandromys fortis (reed vole), 812 nucleotides. RefSeq lists it as uncharacterized. The transcript is spliced from 3 exons. NCBI's taxonomy places the organism in Eukaryota, Metazoa, Chordata, Mammalia, Rodentia, Cricetidae. The record is from RefSeq and is a predicted model, not a curated record.